GGACGUGUAGAUCAGUUGGUUAGAUCGCUACGUUGACAUCGUAGAGGUCGCAGGUUCGAGUCCUGCCACGUCCA
Molecule: transfer RNA, 74 nt
Filed under: Planctomycetaceae bacterium
Lineage: Bacteria; Pseudomonadati; Planctomycetota; Planctomycetia; Planctomycetales; Planctomycetaceae
Description: tRNA-Val
Rfam family: tRNA
About the family: Transfer RNA (tRNA) molecules are approximately 80 nucleotides in length.
Source: RNAcentral